GCCUGAGUGGCUCAGUCGGUUAAGCGUCCAACUUCAGCUCAGGUCAUGAUCUCAUGGUUUGUGGGUUCAAGUCCCGCAUCAGGCU
RNAcentral lists this transfer RNA (85 nucleotides) under Felis catus (domestic cat). It matches the Rfam family "tRNA". From Rfam's summary of the family: Transfer RNA (tRNA) molecules are approximately 80 nucleotides in length. Lineage: Eukaryota; Metazoa; Chordata; Mammalia; Carnivora; Felidae. The record is from Rfam by way of RNAcentral. RNAcentral also lists the same sequence under 1 other name.